This 898-nucleotide ribosomal RNA is filed under the name uncultured Actinomycetes bacterium. RNAcentral's name for it is "bacterial SSU rRNA". It matches the Rfam family "Bacterial small subunit ribosomal RNA", at positions 8 to 916 of the family's 1533-position model. The record is from RNAcentral. Lineage: Bacteria; Bacillati; Actinomycetota; Actinomycetes.
AGAGUUUGAUCCUGGCUCCAGGACGAACGCUGGCGGCGUGCUUAACACAUGCAAAGUCGAGCGAUGAAGUGUCUUCGGAAAUGGAUUAGCGGCGAACGGGUGAGGAACACGUGAAGAAUCUGCCCUCCACUUUUGGGAUAACACCGGGAAACCGGUGCUAAUACUGAAUAUUGAAACAUAAGUGGCAUCACUGAGUUUUGAAAGAAUUUCGGUGGAGGAUGACUUCGCGGCCUAUCAGCUAGUUGGUGAGGUAAUGGCUCACCAAGGCAACGACGGGUAGCCGGCCUGAGAGGGCGACCGGCCACACUGGGACUGAGACACGGCCCAGACUCCUAUGGGAGGCAGCAGUGGGGAAUAUUGGGCAAUGGAGGAAACUCUGACCCAGCGACGCCGCGUGCGGGAUGAAGGCCUUCGGGUUGUAAACCGCUUUCAGUAGGGAAGAAGCGAAAGUGACGGUACCUACAAAAGAAGCACCGGCUAACUAUGUGCCAGCAGCCGCGGUAAUACAUAGGGUGCAAGCGUUGUCCGGAAUUAUUGGGCGUAAAGAGCUCGUAGGUCGUUUGUUACGUCGGAUGUGAAAACCUGAGGCUCAACCUCAGGCCUGCAUUCGAUACGGGCAAACUAGAGUUUGGUAGGGGAGACUGGAAUUCCUGGUGUAGCGGUGGAAUGCGCAGAUAUCAGGAGGAACACCAAUGGCGAAGGCAGGUCUCUGGGCCAAUACAGACACUGAGGAGCGAAAGUCUGGGGAGCGAACAGGAUUAGAUACCCUGGUAGUCCAGACCGUAAACGGUGGGCACUAGUUGUGGGAACCUUCCACGGUUUCUGCAACGCAGCUAACGCAUUAAGUGCCCCGCCUGGGGAGUACGAUCGCAAGAUUAAAACUCAAAGGAAUUGACGG